GCCAGCCCGCUCAAGAACUUAAAGGAAUUGACGGGGGCCCGCACAAGCGGUGGAGCAUGUGGUUUAAUUCGAUGAUACGCGAGGAACCUUACCUGGGCUCAAAUGUAUGUUGACGUAUUCUGAAAGGGAUACUUCUUCGGACAAUAUACAAGGUGCUGCAUGGUUGUCGUCAGCUCGUGCCGUGAGGUGUCGGGUUAAGUCCCAUAACGAGCGCAACCCCUAUCAUUAGUUGCCAUCAGGUCAAGCUGGGGACUCUAAUGAAACUGCCUACGCAAGUAGUGAGGAAGGUGGGGAUGACGUCAAAUCAGCACGGCCCUUACGUCCAGGGCUACACACGUGCUACAAUGGCCGGUACAAAGGGCAGCUACCUGGUGACAGGAUGCUAAUCUCAAAAGCCGGUCUCAGUUCGGAUCGGAGUCUGCAACUCGACUCCAUGAAGUUGGAAUCGCUAGUAAUCGUGGAUCAGCAUGCCACGGUGAAUACGUUCCCGGGCCUU
RNAcentral lists this ribosomal RNA (496 nucleotides) under uncultured Sphingobacteriales bacterium. Its description in RNAcentral is "bacterial SSU rRNA". It matches the Rfam family "Bacterial small subunit ribosomal RNA", at positions 903 to 1382 of the family's 1533-position model. Lineage: Bacteria; Pseudomonadati; Bacteroidota; Sphingobacteriia; Sphingobacteriales. The record is from RNAcentral.